UACCCUUGUAGUCACGGCAGUAACCGAUGAAUGCUAUCUGUCGGNCGGGAAUGACGGUGGGGUGGCACAGCGAAAGCGUUAAGCAUUCCACCUGGGGAGUACGCCGGCAACGGUGAAACUCAAAGGAAUUGACGNGGGCCCGCACAAGCGGAGGAACAUGUGGUUUAAUUCGAUGAUACGCGAGGAACCUUACCCGGGCUCAAACGACGCAGGGAUGUCCGUGAAAGCGGACAGUCCUUCGGGACCUGUGUCGAGGUGCUGCAUGGUUGUCGUCAGCUCGUGCCGUGAGGUGUCGGCUUAAGUGCCAUAACGAGCGCAACCCCCAUCUUCAGUUGCCAUCAGGUUAUGCUGGGCACUCUGGAGAGACUGCCGGCGCAAGCUGCGAGGAAGGCGGGGAUGACGUCAAAUCAGCACGGCCCUUACGUCCGGGGCGACACACGUGUUACAAUGGCAGGUACAGCGGGAGGCCAGGCGGCGACGCCGAGCGGAACCCGAAAACCUGUCUCAGUUCGGAUCGGAGUCUGCAACCCGACUCCGUGAAGCUGGAUUCGCUAGUAAUCGCGCAUCAGCCAUGGCGCGGUGAAUACGUUCCCGGGCCUUGUACACACCGCCCGUCAAGCCAUGGAAGCCGGGGGUGCCUGAAGUGUGCAACCGCAAGGAGCGCCCUAAGGUAAAACCGGUGACUGGGGCUAAGUCGUAACAAGG
Molecule: ribosomal RNA, 705 nt
Filed under: uncultured bacterium
Lineage: Bacteria
Description: bacterial SSU rRNA
Rfam family: Bacterial small subunit ribosomal RNA
Source: RNAcentral